AAUAUUUGACAAUGGGGGCAACCCUGAUCCAGCCAUGCCGCGUGUGUGAAGAAGGUCUUCGGAUUGCAAAGCACUUUAAGUUGGGAGGAAGGGCUUUAGUCUAAUACCUUGCAGUUUGUACGUUACCAACAGAAUAAGCACCGGCUAACUCUGUGCCAGCAGCCGCGGUAAUACAGAGGGUGCAAGCGUUAAUCGGAAUUACUGGGCGUAAAGCGCGCGUAGGUGGUUCAGUAAGAUGGGUGUGAAAUCCCCGGGCUUAACCUGGGAACUGCUUUCAUAACUGCUGAGCUAGAGUACGGUAGAGGGUAGUGGAGUUUCCUGUGUAGCGGUGGAAUGCGUAGAUAUAGGAAGGAACACCAGUGGCGAAGGCGACUACCUGGACUGAUACUGACACUGAGGUGCGAAAGCGUGGGGAGCAAAC
Molecule: ribosomal RNA, 421 nt
Filed under: uncultured bacterium
Lineage: Bacteria
Description: partial 16S ribosomal RNA
Rfam family: Bacterial small subunit ribosomal RNA
Source: RNAcentral